This 73-nucleotide transfer RNA is filed under the name Danionella translucida. It matches the Rfam family "tRNA". From Rfam's summary of the family: Transfer RNA (tRNA) molecules are approximately 80 nucleotides in length. Their secondary structure includes four short double-helical elements and three loops (D, anti-codon, and T loops). Further hydrogen bonds mediate the characteristic L-shaped molecular structure. tRNAs have two regions of fundamental functional importance: the anti-codon, which is responsible for specific mRNA codon recognition, and the 3' end, to which the tRNAs corresponding amino acid is attached (by aminoacyl-tRNA synthetases). tRNAs cope with the degeneracy of the genetic code in two manners: having more than one tRNA (with a specific anti-codon) for a particular amino acid; and 'wobble' base-pairing, i.e. permitting non-standard base-pairing at the 3rd anti-codon position. The record is from Rfam by way of RNAcentral. RNAcentral also lists the same sequence under 1 other name. Lineage: Eukaryota; Metazoa; Chordata; Actinopteri; Cypriniformes; Danionidae.
GCCGAAAUAGCUCAGUUGGGAGAGCGUUAGACUGAAGAUAUAAAGGUACCUGGUUCAAUCCCGGGUUUCGGCA